This 404-nucleotide ribosomal RNA is filed under the name uncultured bacterium. RNAcentral describes it as "bacterial SSU rRNA". It matches the Rfam family "Bacterial small subunit ribosomal RNA", at positions 355 to 775 of the family's 1533-position model. The record is from RNAcentral.
UAGGGAAUAUUGCACAAUGAGCGAAAGCUUGAUGCAGCAACGCCGCGUGCGCGAUGACGGCCUUCGGGUUGUAAAGCGCUCUUCGGGGAGAUGAGGAAGGACAGUAUCCCCGGAAUAAGUCUCGGCUAACUACGUGCCAGCAGCCGCGGUAACACGUAGGAGGCAAGCGUUAUCCGAAUUUACUGGGCGUAAAGCGCGUGCAGGCGGUUCGGUAAGUUGGAUGUGAAAUCUCCCGGCUCAACUGGGAGGGGACGUUCAAUACUGUCGGACUUGAGGACGAUAGAGGGAGGUGGAAUUCCCGGUGUAGUGGUGAAGUGCGUAGAUAUCGGGAGGAACACCAGUGGCGAAAGCGGCCUCCUGGAUCGUUCCUGACGCUCAGACGCGAAAGCUAGGGGAGCGAACGG